GACGAACGCUGGCGGCGUGCUUAACACAUGCAAGUCGAACGGAAAGGCCCUGCUUUUGUGGGGUGCUCGAGUGGCGAACGGGUGAGUAACACGUGAGUAACCUGCCCUUGACUUUGGGAUAACUUCAGGAAACUGGGGCUAAUACCGGAUAGGAGCUCCUGCUGCAUGGUGGGGGUUGGAAAGUUUCGGCGGUUGGGGAUGGACUCGCGGCUUAUCAGCUUGUUGGUGGGGUAGUGGCUUACCAAGGCUUUGACGGGUAGCCGGCCUGAGAGGGUGACCGGCCACAUGGGAACUGGGAUACGGCCCAGACUCCUACGGGAGGCAGCAGUGGGGAAUAUUGCACAAUGGGCGGAAGCCUGAUGCAGCAACGCCGCGUGCGGGAUGACGGCCUUCGGGUUGUAAACCGCUUUCGCCUGUGACGAAGCGUGAGUGACGGUAAUGGGUAAAGAAGCACCGGCUAACUACGU
Molecule: ribosomal RNA, 467 nt
Filed under: uncultured bacterium
Lineage: Bacteria
Description: partial 16S ribosomal RNA
Rfam family: Bacterial small subunit ribosomal RNA
Source: RNAcentral